This 253-nucleotide ribosomal RNA is filed under the name uncultured bacterium. RNAcentral describes it as "partial 16S ribosomal RNA". It matches the Rfam family "Bacterial small subunit ribosomal RNA", at positions 524 to 776 of the family's 1533-position model. The record is from RNAcentral.
UACGAGUGCCCCGAGCGUUAUCCGGAAUCAUUGGGCGUAAAGGGUGUGUAGGUGGUUCUGCUAGUCCUUAGUUAAAUUCUUCGGCUUAACCGGGGACAUGCUAGGGAAACGGCAGAACUUGAGGAUGCGAGAGGUGUGUGGAACUCCCGGUGUAGCGGUGAAAUGCGUAGAUAUGCGGAGGAACACCGAUGGCGAAGGCAAUCCCCUGGGCCUGCACUGACGCUCAUGCACGAAAGCGUGGGGAGCAAACAGG